This 822-nucleotide ribosomal RNA is filed under the name uncultured bacterium. Its description in RNAcentral is "bacterial SSU rRNA". It matches the Rfam family "Bacterial small subunit ribosomal RNA", at positions 555 to 1376 of the family's 1533-position model. The record is from RNAcentral.
UGGGCGUAAAGAGCUCGUAGGCGGUUGGUCGCGUCGGCUGUGAAAACCCGGAGCUCAACUCCGGGCCUGCAGUCGAUACGGGCCGACUCGAGUGGUGCAGGGGAGACUGGAAUUCCUGGUGUAGCGGUGAAAUGCGCAGAUAUCAGGAGGAACACCGGUGGCGAAGGCGGGUCUCUGGGCAUCAACUGACGCUGAGGAGCGAAAGCGUGGGGAGCGAACAGGAUUAGAUACCCUGGUAGUCCACGCCGUAAACGUUGGGCGCUAGGUGUGGGGGCCAUUCCACGGUCUCCGUGCCGCAGCUAACGCAUUAAGCGCCCCGCCUGGGGAGUACGGCCGCAAGGCUAAAACUCAAAGGAAUUGACGGGGGCCCGCACAAGCGGCGGAGCAUGUUGCUUAAUUCGAUGCAACGCGAAGAACCUUACCUAGGCUUGACAUGCGCGGAAAUCUUCCAGAGAUGGGGGGUCCGUAAGGGCCGUGCACAGGUGGUGCAUGGUUGUCGUCAGCUCGUGUCGUGAGAUGUUGGGUUAAGUCCCGCAACGAGCGCAACCCUCGUUCCAUGUUGCCAGCGGAUCAUGCCGGGGACUCAUGGGAGACUGCCGGGGUCAACUCGGAGGAAGGUGGGGAUGACGUCAAAUCAUCAUGCCCCUUAUGUCUAGGGCUGCAAACAUGCUACAAUGGCCGGUACAAAGGGCUGCGAUACCGCGAGGUGGAGCGAAUCCCAAAAAGCCGGUCUCAGUUCGGAUUGGGGUCUGCAACUCGACCCCAUGAAGUUGGAGUCGCUAGUAAUCGCAGAUCAGCAACGCUGCGGUGAAUACGUUCCCG